AUUUACAUAGCAUGCUUGAAAAUCAGAAUAAUUCGAUUUAUUUGAAUACAGAAGCAUGCAAAACAGAUAAAAUAACAAUCAUAUUGGAUUUGAUUAUCUAAAAAUACUCCUUAAGAUGUCGAAAGUAAUACUAGAUUCCUUAUCAAAAUCUUGAUGUUUUCUUCUUUACUGUUUUCCUUUCUUUUUCUUCUUCUUUCACUAUUUUACAGUCUCUCUCUCUCUCUCUAAAUCUUGAAAAAUGAAAGAAAUAGAAAUGUGGAGAGGAAGGGAAGGGAAAAGGUAAUUUAUAGAAUGUCAGAAUCAUUGGAUUCACGCCAAGUAGCGAAAUCUGGUAAAGAGAGAGGAGAAAAAGAUUCUUGACAUGAAAAACGAAGGAGAAAAAUUUCUUCCACUGGCGGCGGUGGCGUGCCACCCAAGGCAGUGGCAGUAUACUGCCCGAGGUGGCAAUGCCUGAUUGGCGCGCUGUAGGGUAGCUUAUAGGCUGUGACAGG
RNAcentral lists this long non-coding RNA (491 nucleotides) under Carica papaya (papaya). Its description in RNAcentral is "long non-coding RNA (CPAP_LNC011083)". Lineage: Eukaryota; Viridiplantae; Streptophyta; Magnoliopsida; Brassicales; Caricaceae. The record is from RNAcentral.